GGACAUUUGAGCAGUGUAAGUGACGAUUUGAUCGCACGAGGUAACAACAAAACGAUGAGAUGGAAGAAUCAGCUGCUGAUUGGAGCCUGAAGGUCACCGCGAUGCAACCGAGUGCACAAAACAGUGAAGCGGGCUGACAGCGUGCAGACGUCAAGGCGAUCGUGUUUGGCACCACAAACCAGAAGGAGGCUUAUUGAUGCCGAUCCGAUUCACGCAGGGCAUGGUGAUCGGCAAAAUGAGCCGCCCUGCAGCGAGUUCGUCUUCGAAUUUUCACCAGGCACAGGGCAAGUUGGAACAGGUAGAAUCGGUUGGUUGGAAGGAAAAGAGGCAGGUAGGUAGGUAGGUAGGCGGGGAAAAGGAAGAGGAAGAAGAGGAGGAGGAGGAGGUCGGGGAGCAUGCACUCGAGCUUGGUGAGUCCGAUCGAGGAAUGCAUUCACGCACCUGACGCACCCCGCGCGCUUAUCGACGGAGAUUUCAGCCGCUCUGGGACUACUUAAGUCCAAAUAUAGACCAUGCCCUUGUGUUGGUAGGUAAACACGUACAACGGAACGAGGUGCGUCUGUCACGUGUUUGGCGAAUGUGUGCGAGCACGCCUAUAAAGAAAAUUCCCAACGGACGCAGGGUAAACACCUUGCAUCUAGUGUGUAGGUUUCGUUCAUCCUGGUGUUCGAGCGUGCGUGUUACCAGCUUCACCACCCCCAAAUCUUCCUUGGCUAGGAUUAGUUCGGAAUCUCGACAUAAGCUAGAUUAUAAACUGGGGACUCUGGAGGGUCUUAAAUUUUUAAAAUACCUCCUUUAACGACGAUCGUCGUUGUCACUUACAGCCGAAAGCCAAUAUGUGCACAGAGUGGAAUGAAACAGGUUACAAUUUAUACUGAAAUUUUAUCUUGGAUCCUGAGACUUGGAUUUGAUUCUCAGACUUUUUGCGUUUAGGUAAAAAUUCAGUCUCAUGCGGUUGGGUGUUAAUCCAAAGUAUCCUUGACCUGUUGUUGGUUACGUUUAAACGUAGAAGGACUCAGCGCCAAUCCAACCUUUUCUGAUGAGGUUUCACCAUCAUUGGAAAAAAAUAAGAAUUCUUUUACUGAAACAGCUUCAACGUGAAUGACAUCGUGCAUGUUUUCCCGUUUCUCAAACUUCAGUUCUACCGAUUCCCCUAUGAAUUGCAAAAUCAUUCGGUUUGAAUUUCAGAGUCAGUAUUUGUACACCUGGGUUCUCUAUACAGAACCCAGAUAGUCGUACUUCAAAAAAAUUCGAUACUUGCAUACUUCCAUCUCCUGUUUUUAACACCACGCGUGCGAUAGGAUAGUUACUAUCUGUAUUGACCGAAUGCUCAAAUUCCUUAACCUCUUGAGUAAAGUUCGAGGAAAAAUGUAAACAGCGUCAAUUAUACAUUUGAGGUAGAAUGACGAAUCACGAGUCGAAAGUAAUGAGGAACAGCACGGAAUCGCCACCCUGAAAUUUGAAUCGAACUACGCGGCGCCGUCUUCGGAGAUUAACUGGCCAUUCCGCUCCCAUGUUUGUCGUUUGUGAGAGCCGAUAGACACUGCGCAUCGGGAUGAUCGGUGACGUAUAGUAACUCUAUAGUAGACGCAUUAGAUAAAUAAGGGUAAGCUAUAAGCACUCCGCUCUCAGGCAUACGUGUAUAACUUGUAUAUAUAUAAUAUUCUACCGAUCUAUCUGCUUCAAAACGUGCCUGUAAAACCUGCAUUGCUGAAGGAUAUCGGUCAUGUAUGAA
Long non-coding RNA from Neodiprion fabricii, 1735 nucleotides. RefSeq lists it as uncharacterized. The transcript is spliced from 3 exons. The record is from RefSeq and is a predicted model, not a curated record. NCBI's taxonomy places the organism in Eukaryota, Metazoa, Arthropoda, Insecta, Hymenoptera, Diprionidae.